This 509-nucleotide ribosomal RNA is filed under the name Oreodytes picturatus. Its description in RNAcentral is "partial 16S ribosomal RNA". It matches the Rfam family "Bacterial large subunit ribosomal RNA", at positions 1819 to 2597 of the family's 2925-position model. Lineage: Eukaryota; Metazoa; Arthropoda; Insecta; Coleoptera; Dytiscidae. The record is from RNAcentral.
GUCCUUUAGAUUUUAAAUUAAAGGUCUAGCCUGCCCACUGAAAUUUUUAAAUGGCCGCAGUAAUUUGACUGUGCAAAGGUAGCAUAAUCAUUAGUUUUUUAAUUAAAAGCUUGUAUGAAUGGUUGGACGAAAUAAAAACUGUCUCUAAAUAAUAAUUAGAAUUUAAUUUUUAAGUUAAAAAGCUUAAAUUUUAUUAAAAGACGAGAAGACCCUAUAGAUCUUUAUAAUGUGAAUUUUAGUUUUAUUUAAGUUUAUUAUAUUAACAAAGAUUUUUAUUAUUUUAUUGGGGUAAUAAAAAGAUUAAAUAAAUUCUUUUUAAUUUAAAACUAUAAUGAUUGAGUAUAUGAUCCAUUUUUAUUGAUUAUAAGAUUAAGUUACCUUAGGGAUAACAGCGUAAUUUUUUUAAAGAGUUCAUAUCGAUAAAAAAGUUUGCGACCUCGAUGUUGGAUUAAAAAUUAUUUUGGGUGUAGAAGUUCAAAAUUUUUGGUCUGUUCGACCAUUAAAUUUUU